Molecule: non-coding RNA, 72 nt
Organism: Ciona savignyi (Pacific transparent sea squirt)
Lineage: Eukaryota; Metazoa; Chordata; Ascidiacea; Phlebobranchia; Cionidae
Source: Rfam
UCCUCGUUAGUAUAGUGGUGAGUAUCCCCGCCUGUCACGCGGGAGACCGGGGUUCGAUUCGCCGACGGGGAG